This 482-nucleotide ribosomal RNA is filed under the name uncultured bacterium. RNAcentral describes it as "partial 16S ribosomal RNA". It matches the Rfam family "Bacterial small subunit ribosomal RNA", at positions 28 to 507 of the family's 1533-position model. The record is from RNAcentral.
GAUGAACGCUAGCGGCAGGCCUAAUACAUGCAAGUCGAACGAGAUUACGAGGCUUGCUUCUUAUGAAAGUGGCGCACGGGUGCGUAACGCGUAUGCAACCUACCUUAAUCAGGGGGAUAGCCCGAAGAAAUUCGGAUUAAGACCGCAUAAAAACACAGGAUAGCAUUAUCCAAUGUUCAAAUAUUUAUAGGAUUAAGAUGGGCAUGCGUGUCAUUAGCUAGUUGGCGGGGUAACGGCCCACCAAGGCGACGAUGACUAGGGGAUCUGAGAGGAUGACCCCCCAGAAUGGUACUGAGACACGGACCAGACUCCUACGGGAGGCAGCAGUAAGGAAUAUUGGUCAAUGGAGGGAACUCUGAACCAGCCAUGCCGCGUGCAGGAAGACAGCCCUCUGGGUCGUAAACUGCUUUUAUUCGGGAAUAAACCUUUCUACGUGUAGGAAGCUGAAUGUACCGAAGGAAUAAGGAUCGGCUAACUCCGUG